RNAcentral lists this ribosomal RNA (514 nucleotides) under uncultured Flavobacteriaceae bacterium. Its description in RNAcentral is "bacterial SSU rRNA". It matches the Rfam family "Bacterial small subunit ribosomal RNA", at positions 8 to 523 of the family's 1533-position model. The record is from RNAcentral. Lineage: Bacteria; Pseudomonadati; Bacteroidota; Flavobacteriia; Flavobacteriales; Flavobacteriaceae.
AGAGUUUGAUCAUGGCUCAGGAUGAACGCUAGCGGCAGGCCUAACACAUGCAAGUCGAGGGGUAGAACAUUUCGGUGUUUGAGACCGGCGCACGGGUGCGUAACGCGUAUGCAAUCUGCCUUGUACAGAGGGAUAGCCCAGAGAAAUUUGGAUUAAUACCUCAUAGUAUAAUUGAAUGGCAUCAUUUGAUUAUUAAAGUUCCAACGGUACAAGAUGAGCAUGCGUCCCAUUAGUUAGUUGGUGUGGUAACGGCACACCAAGACGAUGAUGGGUAGGGGUCCUGAGAGGGAGAUCCCCCACACUGGUACUGAGGCACGGACCAGACUCCUACGGGAGGCAGCAGUGAGGAAUAUUGGUCAAUGGAGGCAACUCUGAACCAGCCAUGCCGCGUGCAGGAUGACUGCCCUAUGGGUUGUAAACUGCUUUUGCACGGGAACAAACCUGCACAUGUAUGUGCAGCUGAGCGUACCGUGAGAAUAAGGAUCGGCUAACUCCGUGCCAGCAGCCGCGGUAA